RNAcentral lists this ribosomal RNA (518 nucleotides) under Proteus mirabilis. Its description in RNAcentral is "bacterial SSU rRNA". It matches the Rfam family "Bacterial small subunit ribosomal RNA", at positions 858 to 1374 of the family's 1533-position model. The record is from RNAcentral. Lineage: Bacteria; Pseudomonadati; Pseudomonadota; Gammaproteobacteria; Enterobacterales; Morganellaceae.
CAUUAAGCAUUCCGCCUGGGGAGUACGGUCGCAAGACUGAAACUCAAAGGAAUUGACGGGGACCCGCACAAGCAGUGGAGCAUGUGGUUUAAUUCGAUGCAACGCGAAGAACCUUACCUACUCUUGACAUCCAGCGAAUCCUUUAGAGAUAGAGGCGUGCCUUCGGGACAGAGGUGACAGGUGGUGCAUGGUUGUCGUCAGCUCGUGUCGUGAGAUGUUGGGUUAAGUCCCGCAACGAGCGCAACCCUUGAUUUUAGUUGCCAGCACAUAAUGGUGGGCACUCAUAGAAGACUGCCGGUGACAAACCGGAGGAAGGUGGGGAUGACGUCAAAUCAUCAUGCCCCUUAUGACUUGGGCUACACACGUACUACAAUGGCUGGUACAACGGGAAGUGAAGCCGCGAGGUGGAGCCAAUCCUAUAAAAGCCAGUCUCAGUUCGGAUUGCAGGCUGCAACUCGCCUGCAUGAAGUCGGAAUUGCUAGUAAUCGCGGAUCAGCAUGCCGCGGUGAAUACGUUCC